RNAcentral lists this ribosomal RNA (409 nucleotides) under bacterium. RNAcentral describes it as "partial 16S ribosomal RNA". It matches the Rfam family "Bacterial small subunit ribosomal RNA", at positions 355 to 776 of the family's 1533-position model. The record is from RNAcentral.
UGGGGAAUAUUGCACAAUGGGCGAAAGCCUGAUGCAGCGACGCCGCGUGAGGGAUGACGGCCUUCGGGUUGUAAACCUCUUUCAGUAGGGACGAAGCGCAAGUGACGGUACCUGCAGAAGAAGCACCGGCUAACUACGUGCCAGCAGCCGCGGUAAUACGUAGGGUGCGAGCGUUGUCCGGAAUUACUGGGCGUAAAGAGCUCGUAGGCGGUUUGUCACGUCGUCUGUGAAAUCCUAGGGCUUAACCCUGGACGUGCACGCGAUACGGGCUGACUUGAGUACUACAGGGGAGACUGGAAUUUCUGGUGUAGCGGUGGAAUGCACAGAUAUCAGGAAGAUCACCGAUGGCGAAGGCAGGUCUCUGGGUAGUAACUGACGCUGAGGAGCGAAAGCAUGGGUAGCGAACAGG